GCCGCCAUAGCUCAGUAGGUAGAGCGCUUCCAUGGUAAGGAAGAAGUCGUCGGUUCAAGUCCGAUUGGCGGCU
Molecule: transfer RNA, 73 nt
Filed under: Streptococcaceae bacterium
Lineage: Bacteria; Bacillati; Bacillota; Bacilli; Lactobacillales; Streptococcaceae
Description: tRNA-Thr
Rfam family: tRNA
About the family: Transfer RNA (tRNA) molecules are approximately 80 nucleotides in length. Their secondary structure includes four short double-helical elements and three loops (D, anti-codon, and T loops).
Source: RNAcentral